RNAcentral lists this ribosomal RNA (438 nucleotides) under uncultured bacterium. RNAcentral's name for it is "bacterial SSU rRNA". It matches the Rfam family "Bacterial small subunit ribosomal RNA", at positions 355 to 786 of the family's 1533-position model. The record is from RNAcentral.
UAGGGAAUUUUCGGCAAUGGGCGAAAGCCUGACCGAGCAACGCCGCGUGAAGGAAGAAGUCAUUCGUGAUGUAAACUUCUGUUAUAAAGGAAGAACGGCGCCUGUAGGGAAUGACAGGCGAGUGACGGUACUUUAUGAGGAAGCCACGGCUAACUACGUGCCAGCAGCCGCGGUAAUACGUAGGUGGCGAGCGUUAUCCGGAAUCAUUGGGCGUAAAGAGGGAGCAGGCGGCAGUGCAGGUCUGCGGUGAAAGCCCGAAGCUAAACUUCGGUAAGCCGUGGAAACCGCACAGCUAGAGAGCAUCAGAGGAUCGCGGAAUUCCAUGUGUAGCGGUGAAAUGCGUAGAUAUAUGGAGGAACACCAGUGGCGAAGGCGGCGGUCUGGGGUGCAGCUGACGCUCAGUCCCGAAAGCGUGGGGAGCAAAUAGGAUUAGAUACC